Molecule: non-coding RNA, 21 nt
Filed under: Arabidopsis thaliana (thale cress)
Lineage: Eukaryota; Viridiplantae; Streptophyta; Magnoliopsida; Brassicales; Brassicaceae
Source: RNAcentral
UCGAUCAUUUUCUCUGCCUGC